UUUAUAUGUAAAUUUCAUGAAUUUUUGAUACCUGGUUAGAGAGCAGCAAAUUCUGGAACUUAGGUGUGACAAUUUGUGUCACACCUCUUGAUGUCAACUUGUUGAAUUUAAUUGGAUAACCUAUGCAUGUUAGAAUUGAAUGAAAUUUGGCAUGGUGAAUUGUUGAUAUGUUAGGAUGUUGUAUGAAUUUUUGUAGAAUUUUUCACUGCCUUUUCUAAUUGAUCAUGAUUUUUCAUUUCUGGUGAUUGAAAUUGCAAGCUCAUGUGAUACAUGUUGGUAGAUUGAUUGGGAAAUCCUCAUAUUGUAUUGUAUGGCCAUGAAAUUUGAUAUGCAUGAACUAGACACGUUGUGUGACC
This 356-nucleotide long non-coding RNA is filed under the name Lathyrus oleraceus (garden pea). Its description in RNAcentral is "Pisum sativum (pea) long non-coding RNA (PSAT_LNC035994)". Lineage: Eukaryota; Viridiplantae; Streptophyta; Magnoliopsida; Fabales; Fabaceae. The record is from RNAcentral.